GACGUAGGGUGCGAGCGUUGUCCGGAUUUAUUGGGCGUAAAGAGCUCGUAGGCGGUUUGUUGCGUCGGCCGUGAAAACCUGCAGCUUAACUGUGGGCCUGCGGCCGAUACGGGCAGACUUGAGUUCGGUAGGGGAGACUGGAAUUCCUGGUGCAGCGGUGAAAUGCGCAGAUAUCAGGAGGAACACCGGUGGCGAAGGCGGGUCUCUGGGCCGAUACUGACGCUGAGGAGCGAAAGCGUGGGGAGCGAACAGG
This 253-nucleotide ribosomal RNA is filed under the name uncultured bacterium. RNAcentral's name for it is "partial 16S ribosomal RNA". It matches the Rfam family "Bacterial small subunit ribosomal RNA", at positions 524 to 776 of the family's 1533-position model. The record is from RNAcentral.